This is a long non-coding RNA of Glossina fuscipes, 1452 nucleotides long. RefSeq lists it as uncharacterized. NCBI's taxonomy places the organism in Eukaryota, Metazoa, Arthropoda, Insecta, Diptera, Glossinidae. The transcript has 2 exons. The record is from RefSeq and is a predicted model, not a curated record.
UUUGAAAAACCAAAACCAAAAAAAAAAAAAGGAAAAAACAAAAAAGAAGACAUAAGAGAUUUUUAUGUUAAACACAAAACCACUUUAACUUUCGAUAAUGAAGACUCUGCAGAACAUUUAAAAGAAGAGUAUCCCACACCACCUCAAUGAUCGAAGACGACUACUAAUUACAACACAUUGUCAUGCAUAAACAUAUAUAAACAUAAAUUCAUUUAAGGAAAUCAUCAAAUUCAUAUUAGAAAUGCUGUAAAAUCCUUUUAAAAGCUUAAGAUUAAGAAAAGCUUGCUAUGUAAGAAGAUAGGAAAGGCUUCAUCGAGAACGACCUCAAGUUAAACCUCCAAGAAAGAAUACUUAUUUCGAACUUAGGGAAUGUUAUGAAAAAUUUUUAAAAGCUUUAAACCUAACAAAGAUUGUCAAAUGAAAAAUGGAAAGCUGCAAAAAGCUUUUAAAGACCUUUAACCCCAAGAUAGCUUGUUAAGUGAAAAAUGGAAAUGUUAAAAACGAUUUUUACAGUCUUUCAACUUAAGCGAAAAAAUUGAAAUCUAUAAAAAGCUUUUGAAAGCCUUUAACACAAAGCAACUUGUUAAGUAAAACAUGAAAAUUUAUGAAAAGCCAUUUCAAGCCACUUUAAACCUCGACGGAUUUCAGUGACAACUGAAAAUCAAUAAAGAGCUUUUAAAGGCCUUUAACUCAAGAUAGCUUUUAAAGGCUUUUUUAAACCUAAGAUCACUUAUAUGAAGAACAAAAAAGAUUAUAAAAAACUUGUAAAAGCCUUGAAUGCUUGCUUAUUAUUAGGUGAAAAAUGGACAAUUAUAUAAGCUUUUGAAGGCUUUUAACUAAAAACUAUUUAGGUGAAGAAUGGAUAUCUAUAAAAAGCCUUCAAAUUCCAUUAACCCAAGCUAGCUUGUUGAGUAAAUAAAACAUGGCACAAAGCUCUUAAAGCUCUUUUCAAGUGAAAAGAAAAAUCCAUUAAAAGCUAAAAUAUUUUUUCACUUAACAUCACUUAGGUGAAAAAUGUUAAUCUACAAAAAGCUUGUGAAGGCCUAAAAGCUAUAAAAAGUUUUAAAAGCCAACAGAGCAUAUUAGUUAAAAAAGGGGAAAUAAAUCUUUUACGAGGAAUAAGGAAAUUAUUUCCCUACAACACCUUAAAGAAAGAUGUUUAGAGAAGCUCUACAUAGUUUUGGAAAGAAAGGGUGAAAAGAUAAAGCUUUAAGAACAAGAUAGGUUUUACGCAAGGCAAAAAAAAAAAAAAUGCUUAAAUAGCUUAAGAUAGGGAAUCAAAAACAAAUUCUAGGAAGCUUUAGAAAGUUUCCAAGGAAAGCUUCUUAUUGUGUAGAAAACGAUUCUUAAGCGAAACAAAUCGAAUAGAAACCAACUUAGGUUGAGCUUGAAAGAACUUUUGAAAAUGCUUGGGAAGCAGAGCAAAUAGAGGAGAAAAGCAAAAAAAAAAAA